GCUUUAGCGCGGUGGUCCCACCUGACCCCAUGCCGAACUCAGAAGUGAAACGCCGUAGCGCCGAUGGUAGUGUGGGGCCUCCCCAUGCGAGAGUAGGGAACUGCCAGGC
This 109-nucleotide ribosomal RNA is filed under the name Erwinia sp. 198. Lineage: Bacteria; Pseudomonadati; Pseudomonadota; Gammaproteobacteria; Enterobacterales; Erwiniaceae. The record is from RNAcentral. RNAcentral also lists the same sequence under 4 other names.